Molecule: ribosomal RNA, 478 nt
Filed under: uncultured Fusibacter sp.
Lineage: Bacteria; Bacillati; Bacillota; Clostridia; Eubacteriales; Fusibacteraceae
Description: bacterial SSU rRNA
Rfam family: Bacterial small subunit ribosomal RNA
Source: RNAcentral
GGAAUUGACGGGACCCGCACAAGCAGCGGAGCAUGUGGUCUAAUUCGAAGCAACGCGAAGAACCUUACCAGAUCUUGACAUCCAAUUGACCAUCUUUUAAUCGAGAUUUUGCCUUCGGGUACAAUUGAGACAGGUGGUGCAUGGUUGUCGUCAGCUCGUGUCGUGAGAUGUUGGGUUAAGUCCCGCAACGAGCGCAACCCUUGUGUUUAGUUGCAAACAGGUCAAGCUGUGCACUCUAGACAGACUGCCGUGGACAACACGGAGGAAGGUGGGGAUGACGUCAAAUCAUCAUGCCCCUUAUGAUCUGGGCUACACACGUGCUACAAUGGCCGGUACAACGGGCAGCGAAGGAGCGAUCCGGAGCGAAUCCUAAAAAGCCGGUCCCAGUUCGGAUUGCAGGCUGAAACUCGCCUACAUGAAGUUGGAGUUGCUAGUAAUCGCGAAUCAGAAUGUCGCGGUGAAUGCGUUCCCGGGUCUU